AUUGAACGCUGGCGGCAUGCUUUACACAUGCAAGUCGAACGGCAGCGCGGGCUUCGGCCUGGCGGCGAGUGGCGAACUGGUGAGUAAUACAUCGGAACGUGCCCAGUUGUGGGGGAUAGCUCGGCGAAAGCCGGAUUACUACCGCCUACUACCUGCGGGUGAAAGCGGGGGAUCUUCGGACCUUUCGCUCUUGGAGCGGCCGAUGGCAGAUUAGCUAGUUGGUGGGGUAAAGGCCUACCAAGGCGACCAUCUGUAGCUGGUCUGAGAGGACGACCAGCCACACUGGGACUGAGACACGGCCCAGACUACUACGGGAGGCAGCAGUGGGGAAUGUUGGACAAUGGGCGAAAGCCUGAUCCAGCAAUGCCGCGUGUGUGAUGAAGGCCUUCGGGUUGUAAAGAACGUUUGGAGGGAACGAAAAGGACUGGGCCAAUACCACGGUUCGAUGACGGUACCCGGAGAAUAAGCACCGGCUAACUACGUG
This 484-nucleotide ribosomal RNA is filed under the name uncultured bacterium. RNAcentral describes it as "partial 16S ribosomal RNA". It matches the Rfam family "Bacterial small subunit ribosomal RNA", at positions 29 to 507 of the family's 1533-position model. The record is from RNAcentral.